UUAAGCGACUAAGCGUACACGGUGGAUGCCCUGGCAGUCAGAGGCGAUGAAGGACGUGCUAAUCUGCGAUAAGCGUCGGUAAGGUGAUAUGAACCGUUAUAACCGGCGAUUUCCGAAUGGGGAAACCCAGUGUGAUUCGUCACACUAUCAUUAACUGAAUCCAUAGGUUAAUGAGGCGAACCGGGGGAACUGAAACAUCUAAGUACCCCGAGGAAAAGAAAUCAACCGAGAUUCCCCCAGUAGCGGCGAGCGAACGGGGAGCAGCCCAGAGCCUGAAUCAGUGUGUGUGUUAGUGGAAGCGUCUGGAAAGGCGCGCGAUACAGGGUGACAGCCCCGUACACAAAAAUGCACAUGCUGUGAGCUCGAUGAGUAGGGCGGGACACGUGGUAUCCUGUCUGAAUAUGGGGGGACCAUCCUCCAAGGCUAAAUACUCCUGACUGACCGAUAGUGAACCAGUACCGUGAGGGAAAGGCGAAAAGAACCCCGGCGAGGGGAGUGAAAAAGAACCUGAAACCGUGUACGUACAAGCAGUGGGAGCACGCUUAGGCGUGUGACUGCGUACCUUUUGUAUAAUGGGUCAGCGACUUAUAUUCUGUAGCAAGGUUAACCGAAUAGGGGAGCCGAAGGGAAACCGAGUCUUAACUGGGCGUUAAGUUGCAGGGUAUAGACCCGAAACCCGGUGAUCUAGCCAUGGGCAGGUUGAAGGUUGGGUAACACUAACUGGAGGACCGAACCGACUAAUGUUGAAAAAUUAGCGGAUGACUUGUGGCUGGGGGUGAAAGGCCAAUCAAACCGGGAGAUAGCUGGUUCUCCCCGAAAGCUAUUUAGGUAGCGCCUCGUGAAUUCAUCUCCGGGGGUAGAGCACUGUUUCGGCAAGGGGGUCAUCCCGACUUACCAACCCGAUGCAAACUGCGAAUACCGGAGAAUGUUAUCACGGGAGACACACGGCGGGUGCUAACGUCCGUCGUGAAGAGGGAAACAACCCAGACCGCCAGCUAAGGUCCCAAAGUCAUGGUUAAGUGGGAAACGAUGUGGGAAGGCCCAGACAGCCAGGAUGUUGGCUUAGAAGCAGCCAUCAUUUAAAGAAAGCGUAAUAGCUCACUGGUCGAGUCGGCCUGCGCGGAAGAUGUAACGGGGCUAAACCAUGCACCGAAGCUGCGGCAGCGACACUGUGUGUUGUUGGGUAGGGGAGCGUUCUGUAAGCCUGCGAAGGUGUGCUGUGAGGCAUGCUGGAGGUAUCAGAAGUGCGAAUGCUGACAUAAGUAACGAUAAAGCGGGUGAAAAGCCCGCUCGCCGGAAGACCAAGGGUUCCUGUCCAACGUUAAUCGGGGCAGGGUGAGUCGACCCCUAAGGCGAGGCCGAAAGGCGUAGUCGAUGGGAAACAGGUUAAUAUUCCUGUACUUGGUGUUACUGCGAAGGGGGGACGGAGAAGGCUAUGUUGGCCGGGCGACGGUUGUCCCGGUUUAAGCGUGUAGGCUGGUUUUCUAGGCAAAUCCGGAAAAUCAAGGCUGAGGCGUGAUGACGAGGCACUACGGUGCUGAAGCAACAAAUGCCCUGCUUCCAGGAAAAGCCUCUAAGCAUCAGGUAACAUCAAAUCGUACCCCAAACCGACACAGGUGGUCAGGUAGAGAAUACCAAGGCGCUUGAGAGAACUCGGGUGAAGGAACUAGGCAAAAUGGUGCCGUAACUUCGGGAGAAGGCACGCUGAUAUGUAGGUGAAGUCCCUCGCGGAUGGAGCUGAAAUCAGUCGAAGAUACCAGCUGGCUGCAACUGUUUAUUAAAAACACAGCACUGUGCAAACACGAAAGUGGACGUAUACGGUGUGACGCCUGCCCGGUGCCGGAAGGUUAAUUGAUGGGGUCAGCGCAAGCGAAGCUCUUGAUCGAAGCCCCGGUAAACGGCGGCCGUAACUAUAACGGUCCUAAGGUAGCGAAAUUCCUUGUCGGGUAAGUUCCGACCUGCACGAAUGGCGUAAUGAUGGCCAGGCUGUCUCCACCCGAGACUCAGUGAAAUUGAACUCGCUGUGAAGAUGCAGUGUACCCGCGGCAAGACGGAAAGACCCCGUGAACCUUUACUAUAGCUUGACACUGAACAUUGAGCCUUGAUGUGUAGGAUAGGUGGGAGGCUUUGAAGUGUGGACGCCAGUCUGCAUGGAGCCGACCUUGAAAUACCACCCUUUAAUGUUUGAUGUUCUAACGUUGACCCGUGAUCCGGGUUGCGGACAGUGUCUGGUGGGUAGUUUGACUGGGGCGGUCUCCUCCUAAAGAGUAACGGAGGAGCACGAAGGUUGGCUAAUCCUGGUCGGACAUCAGGAGGUUAGUGCAAUGGCAUAAGCCAGCUUGACUGCGAGCGUGACGGCGCGAGCAGGUGCGAAAGCAGGUCAUAGUGAUCCGGUGGUUCUGAAUGGAAGGGCCAUCGCUCAACGGAUAAAAGGUACUCCGGGGAUAACAGGCUGAUACCGCCCAAGAGUUCAUAUCGACGGCGGUGUUUGGCACCUCGAUGUCGGCUCAUCACAUCCUGGGGCUGAAGUAGGUCCCAAGGGUAUGGCUGUUCGCCAUUUAAAGUGGUACGCGAGCUGGGUUUAGAACGUCGUGAGACAGUUCGGUCCCUAUCUGCCGUGGGCGCUGGAGAACUGAGGGGGGCUGCUCCUAGUACGAGAGGACCGGAGUGGACGCAUCACUGGUGUUCGGGUUGUCAUGCCAAUGGCACUGCCCGGUAGCUAAAUGCGGAAGAGAUAAGUGCUGAAAGCAUCUAAGCACGAAACUUGCCCCGAGAUGAGUUCUCCCUGACUCCUUGAGAGUCCUGAAGGAACGUUGAAGACGACGACGUUGAUAGGCCGGGUGUGUAAGCGCAGCGAUGCGUUGAGCUAACCGGUACUAAUGAACCGUGAGGCUUAACCUU
Molecule: ribosomal RNA, 2901 nt
Filed under: Escherichia coli
Lineage: Bacteria; Pseudomonadati; Pseudomonadota; Gammaproteobacteria; Enterobacterales; Enterobacteriaceae
Description: bacterial LSU rRNA
Rfam family: Bacterial large subunit ribosomal RNA
Source: RNAcentral